RNAcentral lists this ribosomal RNA (164 nucleotides) under Hanseniaspora sp. Its description in RNAcentral is "partial large subunit ribosomal RNA". It matches the Rfam family "Eukaryotic large subunit ribosomal RNA", at positions 99 to 261 of the family's 3401-position model. Lineage: Eukaryota; Fungi; Ascomycota; Saccharomycetes; Saccharomycodales; Saccharomycodaceae. The record is from RNAcentral.
CGGUAAAAGCUCAAAUUUGAAAUCUGGUACUUUCAGUGCCCGAGUUGUAAUUUGUAGAAUUUGUCUUUGAUUAGGUCCUUGUCUAUGUUCCUUGGAACAGGACGUCAUAGAGGGUGAGAAUCCCGUUUGGCGAGGAUACCUUUUCUCUGUAAGACUUUUUCGAA